This 397-nucleotide ribosomal RNA is filed under the name uncultured bacterium. Its description in RNAcentral is "bacterial SSU rRNA". It matches the Rfam family "Bacterial small subunit ribosomal RNA", at positions 28 to 419 of the family's 1533-position model. The record is from RNAcentral.
GACGAACGCUGGCGGCGUGCUUAACACAUGCAAGUGGAGCGACGAACCAGGCUUCGGCCUGGGGCAAAGCCGCGAACGGGUGAGUAACACGUGGGUAACGUGCCUCGAUGACCGGGACAACCCGAGGAAACUCGGGCUAAUACCGGAUGUGCUCCCACCACAUCAGUGGUGUGAGUAAAGGUAGCUUCGGCCUCCGCAUCGAGAUCGGCCCGCGGCGCAUUAGCUUGUUGGUGGGGAACGGCUUACCAAGGCAACGAUGCGUAGCUGGUCUGAGAGGACGAUCAGCCACACUGGGACUGAGACACGGCCCAGACUCCUACGGGAGGCAGCAGUGGGGAAUCUUGCGCAAUGCGCGAAAGCGUGACGCAGCAACGCCGCGUGGGGGAAGAAGGCCUGG